This 431-nucleotide ribosomal RNA is filed under the name uncultured bacterium. Its description in RNAcentral is "bacterial SSU rRNA". It matches the Rfam family "Bacterial small subunit ribosomal RNA", at positions 82 to 507 of the family's 1533-position model. The record is from RNAcentral.
UCCCGGGUGGCGAGUGGCGCACGGGUGAGUAAUACAUCGGAACUGUCCUGGUUNUGGGGGGAUAACUGCUCGAAAGGGUGGCUAAUACCGCAUGAGACCUGAGGGUGAAAGCGGGGGAUCGCAAGACCUCGCGCAAUUGGAGCGGCCGAUGCCCGAUUAGCUAGUUGGUGAGGUAAAGGCUCACCAAGGCGACGAUCGGUAGCUGGUCUGAGAGGACGACCAGCCACACUGGGACUGAGACACGGCCCAGACUCCUACGGGAGGCAGCAGUGGGGAAUUUUUGGACAAUGGGGGCAACCCUGAUCCAGCCAUGCCGCGUGCAGGAUGAAGGCCUUCGGGUUGUAAACUGCUUUUGUCAGGGACGAAAAGGACCGUGUUAAUACCAUGGUCUGCUGACGGUACCUGAAGAAUAAGCACCGGCUAACUACGUG